AUUUAAUUGCAAAUGGAAUUCCUUAUGUGAGAAACUCUUUCGUGGCUCUUGGAAUUGUGUUGGCAGUGAUUGAGUUGGAUUUGGGCUUCUCAAAAUUCGAAAUUCUGUUUUCUGAACAAUUUCCCGCUCUGCUGUCAAUUUUUGCUGUCAGUGUGAUCGGGGCGGUGAUUUGGCCAGAUCGCUGCCCCAAUCGCUUCCUGUGAAUCAGUCCAGUUUUCAGCUUUCUGUCUCUAC
This 234-nucleotide long non-coding RNA is filed under the name Manihot esculenta (cassava). RNAcentral describes it as "long non-coding RNA (MESC_LNC005886)". The record is from RNAcentral. Lineage: Eukaryota; Viridiplantae; Streptophyta; Magnoliopsida; Malpighiales; Euphorbiaceae.